CUGAAUAAAAUAUUUUCAUUUUAAUUGGCGCCGAGCCGGAGCGUGGCGAGCUAGAUACGUUCCACCGCCUCAGAGCGUGCCUAUAGAUGCUUCUUUCCCACUCUUUCCUAACAACGAUUGUAUUUGCUAUACAUCUUUUGAGUUCUUUGCAAUGUGCUCUCUCGUGAAGGAUCACUUUUCUUUUUGUUUUCUAGUUCUUACAUUUACUCUCAGUCUCGAUUUCUAGUCUCUGGUUCCGAUCUUUCUUUGAUCUCAUUCUUCCCCUAGAAGAGACAUUGGGUGAAGGUGGUUCAAUCACCGAUGAAUACGAUUUAUUGGUUGAAUUAGACCUUUUUGGAAACAACCGCCGGUGUAGAUGGUUGAAUCAGUCGAGCUCGAGGUCUCUGGAGAGCUACAAAGAUUCAGUCGGGAAUUCUUAAGGCUGGUGGUGUUGAUUAUUGGUGAUGGCUAUAGACUCACAGUCACAGAGAAAGAAAGACAGCGUUUGAGAAUCAAGUGAUGCUUCUGAUGAAUCCUCAGACAAGGAUAAGGGCAAAACCGCAAAGGCAAUCAUAAUUAUUUUGAGUGCAGACAUCUAAAAAGAGUGAAGGGGAUGGCAUUUCUAAAAGCAAGCCUAAUGAUUCUGACUCUGCCAGUAGGAAAUAACAUAUUACGUUUAAUGAGGAAUGGCUGAAAGUUUGGAUGCAAUUGUUUCCCUCUUGAAGAAUGGUGCAGUAACUAUAGGAUCAUUGGCAUCCUUCUUCUUGGAGAAGCUCUGAACCAUCUUUCAUCAAAGCCACUAGACAAUGCAACUAUACUUAUCUUGAUAACAUUCUUCACAGAGCGACUGGUGAUUCUGGCUUUGUUAUUCAGCAGCACAAUCUAUGUCUGCAAAGCUGUAUAUGGAUUUUUUUUCCCCUGUAAUCGUGUUCUACGUCUGCCUAGUGUUUAUCAUCUACUUUCUUUGUUUCUUCAGCUGUGUUUCUAUUUGCUUCAUUUUACUCAUGUUUCAGGACAAUAUUGAAUGUCAUAUUUUAGUAAUAUAAUUUUAUUAUUACAAGAACAUGUUUGACUGCUGAGCCGGGAUUUCCAUUAGAUAAUUUGUGUGAAAAUACACAUUAUGUUUAAAAUAGUCUUAAUGGAGAAAUAGUAGUCUGUCUUUUGAGUCUGGCAUUUUCUUUUUUACUCAAAUUCAGUUGAAUGAUUUUUGUUUAAAUUGUUCCAUUGGCGUAAAUUCUUCUUCCUACUUAAUUUUAAUGUUUAACUUGAAGCAUUUCUUCAAGAUCCUUGUGGUCUGGAUUAACUGCUGUUUUCUGAAGGAAGCUUGAAAGCAAAUGUUUGUUUUGAAGCUGCAUGUCCUUGUCUCGCAGUACAAAAUCCUAACUGUUGAUCAUUUGAGUGCUAGAAAUUGGAGAACAGAGAAUAGAUUUUAUGAAUAUAUGGAGGGGAUCAUCUUGAUACUGCUAUGUGGAACAAGGAAAAGAGGAAACCAAAUGCACUGCUGAAAAUCCUGAGCAAGAGAUUUUUUAAAAUGCCAGGCCAUUAGUUGGCCUUAACUCUUGUAAAAUCCUUUUAUAUUAAUGUUGUCAUGCAUUGGCUUUAUUCUACUUGUUAAUUAGCCUUAAUCUAGAAUUUCCAGAUCAUGAGGCUUGCUUUUCAAUAGUUAUUUUUACCGGCAGGAAUUAUCUGGUUAUUAGUCGCUUCUAGGCUUCCAAAUGUACUCUGUUCGAGGGAGGGAUUUAUUUUUUCCCAGCAAGUGCAUUAAGCUCCCUAGUUUGAAAAGCUGUCAUAGAGAAUGCUCAUGUUAUCAUUAAAUGCCUAAUUGAACUUGUUGCAUACCUUGUACGAUGUGGCCAGAGUAUAACUUUCAACUUCUGCUCCACACAUUUACUUCCUACCCAGCUGUCCGCUUAUAGAUCCGAUGUUUACUUGUGACCAUUCACAUAUAAGUUUCUAAUGUCCGAGAAAUAGCAAUUCAAUGUCUUGUUGCCAUGUCAGAGCUGCCUCACACAAGGAUUUACCCUUUGAGAGUCCAGGUAUUACAAGCAUUGUCUAAAGCAUUUGAUGAUCCAAAGAAGGCUGUUCGUCAAGAAGCUGUUAGGUGCCGGCAAGCAUGGUCAGUGCUUUAGAUCUUUAUUGCUGUAGCCUGAAAUGAUAUAACCCACAGAUUCAUUGACAUAGAUUUCUGUUAAUCGUCAAAAUAAGGCGUCAAUUGCAUCAAGAAGUCCUCAUUUGUGAAGAGCACAAGCAUUCUCAGACAACUUUGGUUUUCCUCUUACAAGGUUAUCAAGUAUUUUUGGAUGACUGCCCGCUUGGAAUGGUAGCACGGGAUGCUCUAGCAACCAAAUUUGCAAAAACAAAGGUUGAUUUAGGAAUAACAUGAUCGUAAGUUUGGAGAUUGUAACCAAAGCUUCCAUUUGGCAAUUCUGGGUAAAGUAGAUCGAGCAUGUAGAAUUACCAUACCAUCAAACUCCAUCCCAAGUAUCUAACAAAAACCGAAAAAAGUAGAACAGAGUGAAAGAAAGGGCCAUGAGCAUGGCAUGACAUAGGAUGAGGCGCGAAAAGAACCAUGGAUGGAAGUUUACGCCACACGUCUUAUGAAACAAAAAAAUGUGAAAAAUACAACAAAAGUUGAGGACGAAAAGAAAUAUUUAACUGUUCUAUAGAUUAACUUAAGAUGUUUACAGUACAUCAAAACAUCAGGCCUUGAUGAACUUCUUUACACCUUCA
Molecule: RNA transcript, 2709 nt
Organism: Hevea brasiliensis (rubber tree)
Lineage: Eukaryota; Viridiplantae; Streptophyta; Magnoliopsida; Malpighiales; Euphorbiaceae
Exons: 10
Source: RefSeq, a predicted model, not a curated record